CGACUUGGAGGUUGUUCCCUUGAGGAGUGGCUUCCGGAGCUAACGCGUUAAGUCGACCGCCUGGGGAGUACGGCCGCAAGCCUAAAACUCAAAUGAAUUGACGGGUGCCCGCACAAGCGAUGGAGCAUGUGGUUUAAUUCGAUGCAACGCUAAGAACCUUACCUACUCUUGACAUCCAGAGAACUUAGCAGAGAUGCUUUGGUGCCUUCGGGAACUCUGAGACAGGUGCUGCAUGGAUGUCGUCAGCCCGGGUUGUGAAAUGUUGGGUUAGGUCCCGCAACGAGCGCAACCCUUAUCCUUUGUUGCCAGCGAUUCGUUCGGGAACUCGAAGGAGACUGCCGGUGAUAAACCGAAGGAAGGGGGGGAUGACGUCAAGUCAUCAUGGCCCUUACGGCCAGGGCUACACACGUGCUACAAUGGCGCAUACAAAGAGAAGCGACCUCGCGAGAGCAAGCGGACCUCAUAAAGUGCGUCGUAGUCCGGAUCGAAGUCUGCAACUCGACUCCGUGAAGUCGGAAUCGCUAGUACUCGUGGAUCAGAAUGCCACGUUAAUACGUUCCCGGGCCUUGUACACACCGCCCCGUCACACCAUGAGAGUGCGUUGCAAAAGAAGUAGGUAGCUUAACCUUCAGGAGGCCGCUUACCACUUUGUGAUUCAUGACUGGAGCGAAGUCGUAACAAGGUACC
RNAcentral lists this ribosomal RNA (687 nucleotides) under uncultured bacterium. RNAcentral's name for it is "bacterial SSU rRNA". It matches the Rfam family "Bacterial small subunit ribosomal RNA", at positions 813 to 1500 of the family's 1533-position model. The record is from RNAcentral.